GUAGUUAGCCGGGGCUUCCUCCUUAGGUACCGUCAUUUUUUCGUCCCUAAGGACAGAGGUUUACAAUCCGAAGACCUUCAUCCCUCACGCGGCGUUGCUGGGUCAGGCUUUCGCCCAUUGCCCAAUAUUCCCCACUGCUGCCUCCCGUAGGAGUCUGGACCGUAUCUCAGUUCCAGUGUGGCCGAUCACCCUCUCAGGUCGGCUACCCAUCGUUGCCUUGGUGAGCCGUUACCUCACCAACUAGCUAAUGGGACGCGAGCCCAUCCAUAAGCGAUAAAUCUUUGACCUCUUCGCCAUGUGACGUUGUGGUCUUAUGCGGUAUUAGCAGCCGUUUCCAGCUGUUGUCCCCCUCUUAUGGGUAGGUUGCUCACGCGUUACUCACCCGUCCGCCACUAAACGCUCCCGAGUAAACUCAGUUGCGUUCCGUUCGACUUGCAUGUGUUAGCACGCCGCCACGCGUUCGUCUGAGCGACGAUACAACUACUGA
This 487-nucleotide ribosomal RNA is filed under the name uncultured bacterium. RNAcentral describes it as "partial 16S ribosomal RNA". The record is from RNAcentral.